UGCGUGGUGGAAAGGUUCUGU
This 21-nucleotide non-coding RNA is filed under the name Caenorhabditis elegans. The record is from RNAcentral. Lineage: Eukaryota; Metazoa; Nematoda; Chromadorea; Rhabditida; Rhabditidae.